RNAcentral lists this ribosomal RNA (256 nucleotides) under uncultured Gardnerella sp. RNAcentral's name for it is "partial 16S ribosomal RNA". It matches the Rfam family "Bacterial small subunit ribosomal RNA", at positions 99 to 354 of the family's 1533-position model. Lineage: Bacteria; Bacillati; Actinomycetota; Actinomycetes; Bifidobacteriales; Bifidobacteriaceae. The record is from RNAcentral.
CGAACGGGUGAGUAAUGCGUGACCAACCUGCCCCAUGCUCCAGAAUAGCUCUUGGAAACGGGUGGUAAUGCUGGAUGCUCCAACUUGACGCAUGUCUUGUUGGGAAAGUGUUUAGUGGCAUGGGAUGGGGUCGCGUCCUAUCAGCUUGUAGGCGGGGUAAUGGCCCACCUAGGCUUCGACGGGUAGCCGGCCUGAGAGGGCGGACGGCCACAUUGGGACUGAGAUACGGCCCAGACUCCUACGGGAGGGAGCAGGC